AGCCCUUGAGAGUGGCGAACGGGUGAGUAUAUAUCGGAACGUGCCCAGUCGUGGGGGAUAACGUAGCGAAAGUUACGCUAAUACCGCAUACGAUCUAAGGAUGAAAGCGGGGGAUCGCAAGACCUCGCGCGAUUGGAGCGGCCGAUAUCAGAUUAGGUAGUUGGUGAGGUAAAGGCUCACCAAGCCAACGAUCUGUAGCUGGUCUGAGAGGACGACCAGCCACACUGGAACUGAGACACGGUCCAGACUCCUACGGGAGGCAGCAGUGGGGAAUUUUGGACAAUGGACGCAAGUCUGAUCCAGCCAUUCCGCGUGCAGGAUGAAGGCCCUCGGGUUGUAAACUGCUUUUGUACGGAACGAAAAGGUUUGUCUUAAUACGAUGAGCUCAUGACGGUACCGUAAGAAUAAGCACCGGCUAACUACGUG
This 426-nucleotide ribosomal RNA is filed under the name uncultured bacterium. RNAcentral's name for it is "bacterial SSU rRNA". It matches the Rfam family "Bacterial small subunit ribosomal RNA", at positions 84 to 507 of the family's 1533-position model. The record is from RNAcentral.